This 422-nucleotide ribosomal RNA is filed under the name uncultured Insolitispirillum sp. RNAcentral's name for it is "bacterial SSU rRNA". It matches the Rfam family "Bacterial small subunit ribosomal RNA", at positions 355 to 794 of the family's 1533-position model. The record is from RNAcentral. Lineage: Bacteria; Pseudomonadati; Pseudomonadota; Alphaproteobacteria; Rhodospirillales; Novispirillaceae.
UGAGGAAUAUUGGGCAAUGGAGGAAACUCUGACCCAGCCAUGCCGCGUGAGUGAAGAAGGUUUUCGAAUUGUAAAGCUCUUUCGGAUGUGACGAUGAUGACGGUAGCAUCUAAAGAAGCCCCGGCAAACUUCGUGCCAGCAGCCGCGGUAAUACGAAGGGGGCGAGCGUUGUUCGGAAUUACUGGGCGUAAAGGGUGUGUAGGUGGAUAAGUAAGAUAGCGGUGAAAUACCUGGGCUUAACUUAGGAAUUGCCGUUAUAACUAUUUAUCUAGAGUGACAGAGAGGAUAUUGGAAUACCCAGUGUAGAGGUGAAAUUCGUAGAUAUUGGGUAGAACACCGGAGGCGAAGGCGAGUAUCUGGCUGUCAACUGACGCUGAGGCACGAAAGCAUGGGGAUCAAACAGGAUUAGAUACCCUGGUAGU